This 464-nucleotide ribosomal RNA is filed under the name Vreelandella stevensii. Its description in RNAcentral is "partial 16S ribosomal RNA". It matches the Rfam family "Bacterial small subunit ribosomal RNA", at positions 338 to 795 of the family's 1533-position model. Lineage: Bacteria; Pseudomonadati; Pseudomonadota; Gammaproteobacteria; Oceanospirillales; Halomonadaceae. The record is from RNAcentral.
CCUACGGGGGCAGCAGUGGGGAAUAUUGGACAAUGGGUGAAAGCCUGAUCCAGCCAUGCCGCGUGUGUGAAGAAGGCCUUCGGGUUGUAAAGCACUUUCAGUGGGGAAGAAAGCCUUGGGGCUAAUACCCUCGAGGAAGGACAUCACCCACAGAAGAAGCACCGGCUAACUCCGUGCCAGCAGCCGCGGUAAUACGGAGGGUGCGAGCGUUAAUCGGAAUUACUGGGCGUAAAGCGCGCGUAGGCGGUCUGAUAAGCCGGUUGUGAAAGCCCCGGGCUCAACCUGGGAACGGCAUCCGGAACUGUCAGGCUAGAGUGCAGGAGAGGAAGGUAGAAUUCCCGGUGUAGCGGUGAAAUGCGUAGAGAUCGGGAGGAAUACCAGUGGCGAAGGCGGCCUUCUGGACUGACACUGACGCUGAGGUGCGAAAGCGUGGGUAGCAAACAGGAUUAGAUACCCCAGUAGUC